UCCGCGCCCAUCAAUGAAUAAAUUAAAUUUGAAAAUUGAAAUGGAGGCAAAAAAGGAAGAAAUCACUUGUAAUGGAAACGGCAUCUCUCAUGCUAGCAGUGUAAAGAAGAGACUUGAUUAUUUAAACUGGGAUGAGUAUUUUAUGGCCGUCGCUUUCCUUUCUGCUCAGAGAAGCAAAGACCCUCAUUCACAGGUUGGUGCCUGUAUAGUUAGUCCUGAUCGUAAGAUUGUUGGUAUUGGGUAUAAUGGUAUGCCCAAUGGUUGCAGUGAUGAUGAGCUACCAUGGAAUAGAGAGGCAGAGAACAGAUUAGAUACUAAAUAUCCUUAUGUGUGUCAUGCUGAAUUGAAUGCUAUCCUUAAUAAGAACUCAGCUGAUGUUACAGGAUGUACUAUAUAUGUUGCAUUGUUCCCUUGUAAUGAAUGUGCUAAGCUGAUCAUACAGUCUGGUAUCACUGAGAUAUUAUAUGUCAGUGAUAAAUAUCAUGAUACUGAUCACAUGAUUGCUAGCAGGAAACUAUUGGACAUGGCUAAAGUUAAAUACAGACAAUUCAUUCCUUCAAUAAAGACACUAACAAUUGAUUUCUCAUCUAUUGAUGAUUGUGUGUAUAAUCACUGGACACAAUAAACAACAAUUAGUACAAUGAAUGCCAUACACUUUCUAUUCAAUUUAUUCCUUCAAUAAAGACACUAACAAUUGAUUUCUCAUCUAUUGAUGAUUGUGUGUAUAAUCACUGGACACAAUAAAGGACUAGUACAAUGAAUGCCAUACACUUUCUAUACAAUUUAUUCCUUCAAUAAAGACACUAACAAUAGAUUUCUCAUCUAUUGAUGAUUGUGUGUAUAAUCACUGGACACAAUAAAGGACUAAUACAAUGAAUAUUAAACACUUUCUAUGUAAGUUAAAACUUAUUGAAUUUGACCUUAACAUUUAAUGUGUAUUGUAUUAUGUAUGUUAUGUUAAUUUGCUGUUUUAUUAAUUGUUGGUUUUUACUUAUUCAUUUCUUAUUCUCAUGCACUAA
This is an RNA transcript of Amphimedon queenslandica, 1019 nucleotides long. It is a transcript of the gene named deoxycytidylate deaminase-like, with no coding region annotated. The record is from RefSeq and is a predicted model, not a curated record. NCBI's taxonomy places the organism in Eukaryota, Metazoa, Porifera, Demospongiae, Haplosclerida, Niphatidae. The transcript has 6 exons.